AGAGUUUGAUCAUGGCUCAGAUUGAACGCUGGCGGCAUGCCUUACACAUGCAAGUCGAACGGCAGCGCGGGGGCAACCCUGGCGGCGAGUGGCGAACGGGUGAGUAAUACAUCGGAACGUGUCCUGGAGUGGGGGAUAGCUCGGCGAAAGCCGGAUUAAUACCGCAUACGCUCUACGGAGGAAAGCGGGGGAUCUUCGGACCUCGCGCUCAAGGGGCGGCCGAUGGCGGAUUAGCUAGUUGGUGGGGUAAAGGCCUACCAAGGCGACGAUCCGUAGCUGGUCUGAGAGGACGACCAGCCACACUGGGACUGAGACACGGCCCAGACUCCUACGGGAGGCAGCAGUGGGGAAUUUUGGACAAUGGGGGAAACCCUGAUCCAGCAAUGCCGCGUGUGUGAAGAAGGCCUUCGGGUUGUAAAGCACUUUUGUUCGGGAAGAAAUCCUUCGAGCUAAUACCUUGAGGGGAUGACGGUACCGGAAGAAUAAGCACCGGCUAACUACGUGCCAGCAGCCGCGGUAAUACGUAGGGUGCGAGCGUUAAUCGGAAUUACUGGGCAAAGCGUGCGCAGGCGGUUCGCUAAGACCGAUGUGAAAUCCCCGGGCUUAACCUGGGAACUGCAUUGGUGACUGGCGGGCUAGAGUAUGGCAGAGGGGGGUAGAAUUCCACGUGUAGCAGUGAAAUGCGUAGAGAUGUGGAGGAAUACCGAUGGCGAAGGCAGCCCCCUGGGCCAAUACUGACGCUCAUGCACGAAAGCGUGGGGAGCAAACAGGAUUAGAUACCCUAGUAGUCC
This 791-nucleotide ribosomal RNA is filed under the name uncultured bacterium. Its description in RNAcentral is "bacterial SSU rRNA". It matches the Rfam family "Bacterial small subunit ribosomal RNA", at positions 8 to 796 of the family's 1533-position model. The record is from RNAcentral.